This 87-nucleotide transfer RNA is filed under the name Candidatus Bipolaricaulota bacterium. RNAcentral's name for it is "tRNA-Leu". It matches the Rfam family "tRNA". Rfam says of the family: Transfer RNA (tRNA) molecules are approximately 80 nucleotides in length. Their secondary structure includes four short double-helical elements and three loops (D, anti-codon, and T loops). The record is from RNAcentral. Lineage: Bacteria; Candidatus Bipolaricaulota.
GCCGGGGUGGCGGAAUUGGCAGACGCAAGGGACUUAAAAUCCCUUGGGGUAACGUACCCCGUGCGGGUUCAAGUCCCGCCCCCGGCA